Molecule: ribosomal RNA, 657 nt
Filed under: bacterium a11(2011)
Lineage: Bacteria
Description: SSU rRNA
Rfam family: Bacterial small subunit ribosomal RNA
Source: RNAcentral
GAAGGCCUUCGGGUUGUAAACCUCUUUCAGCAGGGAAGAAGCGAAAGUGACGGUACCUGCAGAAGAAGCACCGGCUAACUACGUGCCAGCAGCCGCGGUAAUACGUAGGGUGCGAGCGUUGUCCGGAAUUAUUGGGCGUAAAGAGCUUGUAGGCGGUUUGUCGCGUCUGCUGUGAAAAUCCGGGGCUCAACCCCGGACUUGCAGUGGGUACGGGCAGACUAGAGUGUGGUAGGGGAGACUGGAAUUCCUGGUGUAGCGGUGAAAUGCGCAGAUAUCAGGAGGAACACCGAUGGCGAAGGCAGGUCUCUGGGCCAUUACUGACGCUGAGAAGCGAAAGCAUGGGGAGCGAACAGGAUUAGAUACCCUGGUAGUCCAUGCCGUAAACGUUGGGAACUAGGUGUGGGUCUCAUUCCACGAGAUCCGUGCCGCAGCUAACGCAUUAAGUUCCCCGCCUGGGGAGUACGGCCGCAAGGCUAAAACUCAAAGGAAUUGACGGGGGCCCGCACAAGCGGCGGAGCAUGUGGAUUAAUUCGAUGCAACGCGAAGAACCUUACCAAGGCUUGACAUAUACCGGAAACAUCUGGAGACAGGUGCCCCGCAAGGUCGGUAUACAGGUGGUGCAUGGUUGUCGUCAGCUCGUGUCGUGAGAUGUUGGGU